RNAcentral lists this long non-coding RNA (758 nucleotides) under Urocitellus parryii (Arctic ground squirrel). RNAcentral's name for it is "lncRNA (ENSUPAG00010009419.1)". The record is from RNAcentral. Lineage: Eukaryota; Metazoa; Chordata; Mammalia; Rodentia; Sciuridae.
GAGCCCGCACACCUUGCGCUUCUGCAGGACGCUCCUGCACCCCCAGUCGGGCGGGCGGGCGGCACAAGGGCAAGUGCAGAGCGCGGCCCGGACCCAGAUUCCAGCAGCCUGGGUUGGCCUAGUGUCCCAUCAAGACAGAUCUUCUCAUCGCUCUGGGGACCUCCCAAGACUGUGAAGUAGAGUGACUGGACCAGUCCUUGAGGGCCAGGCCUGGAGAGGGCCAAGUGUGGAGUCCCAUGGGGUGGGGUGGGCAACCAGCUCCUGGGGUCCUUAAACCCAGGCAGAGCCUGGGCAGCAAGAGGCCUGCCCUUGUUCCGGAAGCUGCUUGAAAACCAGUCAGGGGCAGGACAGGGCCCAGGCUGCUCCAAGCAUGCACACCAGCACCAAACGUGGGGGACAUGGUGAAGAAUUCGCAUGCACCAUGUCAGGUCCCCAGGCACAGAGGCAAGGAUGUGCUCCCAGGUCACCUCCCGGGCUUACCGUCCUCUCCCUGUGAGGAUGCUGCCCAGGCUGGGUCUGCAGAGGCUGGGAGAGACGAGAUGGAAAGCCACAUGGUGGCCAUUAUUAAGCUGCUGGACACUCCUGUCCCAGCCCCUGAGGAAAGGCUGAUGCCAGUUCCCAAGGUCCCCAGGGUCGAGGACAARGCCAGAAACCAGAGCAUCAUUUACCCAGAACACGGCCAUCACAGCAGCAGGCAUGUGCAGCACUGGGAAAUUGCAUGUUCCAGAAGCUUCUGUGAGGAGUCUGCCGGGCUKUGA